GCCUGGGUGGCUCAAUCGGUUAAGCGUCUGACUUCGGUUCAGGUCAUGAUCUCACGGUCCGUGAGUUCGAGCCCCACGUCGGGCU
Molecule: transfer RNA, 85 nt
Filed under: Felis catus (domestic cat)
Lineage: Eukaryota; Metazoa; Chordata; Mammalia; Carnivora; Felidae
Rfam family: tRNA
About the family: Transfer RNA (tRNA) molecules are approximately 80 nucleotides in length. Their secondary structure includes four short double-helical elements and three loops (D, anti-codon, and T loops). Further hydrogen bonds mediate the characteristic L-shaped molecular structure. tRNAs have two regions of fundamental functional importance: the anti-codon, which is responsible for specific mRNA codon recognition, and the 3' end, to which the tRNAs corresponding amino acid is attached (by aminoacyl-tRNA synthetases). tRNAs cope with the degeneracy of the genetic code in two manners: having more than one tRNA (with a specific anti-codon) for a particular amino acid; and 'wobble' base-pairing, i.e. permitting non-standard base-pairing at the 3rd anti-codon position.
Source: Rfam by way of RNAcentral